GACGAACGCUGGCGGCGUGCUUAACACAUGCAAGUCGAACGGAAAGGCCCUGCUUUUGUGGGGUGCUCGAGUGGCGAACGGGUGAGUAACACGUGAGUAACCUGCCCUUGACUUUGGGAUAACUUCAGGAAACUGGGGCUAAUACCGGAUAGGAGCUCCUGCUGCAUGGUGGGGGUUGGAAAGUUUCGGCGGUUGGGGAUGGACUCGCGGCUUAUCAGCUUGUUGGUGGGGUAGUGGCUUACCAAGGCUUUGACGGGUAGCCGGCCUGAGAGGGUGACCGGCCACAUUGGGACUGAGAGACGGCCCAGACUCCUACGGGAGGCAGCAGUGGGGAAUAUUGCACAAUGGGCGGAAGCCUGAUGCAGCAACGCCGCGUGCGGGAUGACGGCCUUCGGGUUGUAAACCGCUUUCGCCUGUGACGAAGCGUGAGUGACGGUAAUGGGUAAAGAAGCACCGGCUAACUACG
RNAcentral lists this ribosomal RNA (466 nucleotides) under uncultured bacterium. RNAcentral describes it as "partial 16S ribosomal RNA". It matches the Rfam family "Bacterial small subunit ribosomal RNA", at positions 28 to 505 of the family's 1533-position model. The record is from RNAcentral.